GCCUUUCUCUUUGGGAUAAGCGCUGGAAACGGUGUCUAAUACCAGAUAUUCAUGCUUUGCCGCAUGGUGGGGUGUGGAAAGGCUGGAGGAAGAUGGGCUCGCGGCCUAUCAGCUUGUUGGUGGGGUGAUGGCCUACCAAGGCUUUGACGGGUAACCGGCCUGAGAGGGUGACCGGUCACACUGGGACUGAGAUACGGCCCAGACUCCUACGGGAGGCAGCAGUGGGGAAUAUUGCACAAUGGGCGAAAGCCUGAUGCAGCGACGCCGCGUGGGGGAUGACGGCCUUCGGGUUGUAAACCUCUUUCGGUAAGGAUGUAGGGCACUCUUUGGGGUGUUUGACUUUACUUGCUAAAGAAGCGCCGGCUAACUACGUGCCAGCAGCCGCGGUAAUACGUAGGGCGCAAGCGUUGUCCGGAUUUAUUGGGCGUAAAGGGCUCGUAGGCGGCGCGUCUGUCGUGAAAUCCAGUGGCUUAACUGCUGGUUUGCGGUGGGUACGGGCAGGCUUGAGUGCGGUAGGGGAGAUUGGAAUUCUUGGUGUAGCGGUGAAAUGCGCAGAUAUCAGGAAGAACACCGGUGGCGAAGGCUGGUCUCUGGGCCGUUACUGACGCUGAUGAGCGAAAGCGUGGGGAGCGAACAGGAUUAGAUACCCUGGUAGUCCACGCUGUAAACGUUGGGCACUGGGUGUGGGGGCCUUUGUGGUUUCUGUGCCGUAGCUAACGCGUUAAGUGCCCCGCCUGGGGAGUACGGCCGCAAGGCUAAAACUCAAAGGAAUUGACGGGGACCCGCACAAGCGGCGGAGCAUGCGGAUUAAUUCGAUGCAACGCGAAGAACCUUACCAAGGCUUGACAUGCGCUUUUGCUGCCAGAGAUGGUGGUGGCCUUUUUGGCGGGGCGUGCAGGUGGUGCAUGGUUGUCGUCAGCUCGUGUCGUGAGAUGUUGGGUUAAGUCCCGCAACGAGCGCAACCCUUGUCUCGUGUUGCCAGCGCG
RNAcentral lists this ribosomal RNA (986 nucleotides) under Boudabousia marimammalium. Its description in RNAcentral is "bacterial SSU rRNA". It matches the Rfam family "Bacterial small subunit ribosomal RNA", at positions 128 to 1125 of the family's 1533-position model. Lineage: Bacteria; Bacillati; Actinomycetota; Actinomycetes; Actinomycetales; Actinomycetaceae. The record is from RNAcentral.